RNAcentral lists this ribosomal RNA (446 nucleotides) under uncultured bacterium. RNAcentral's name for it is "partial 16S ribosomal RNA". It matches the Rfam family "Bacterial small subunit ribosomal RNA", at positions 354 to 796 of the family's 1533-position model. The record is from RNAcentral.
GUAAGGAAUAUUGGUCAAUGGGGGCAACCCUGAACCAGCCAUGCCGCGUGAAGGAUGAAGGCGUUAUGCGUUGUAAACUUCUUUUGUAUGGGAAGAAUGACAGGGAUUUAUCCUUGGAGAGACGGUACCAUACGAAUAAGCACCGGCUAACUCCGGGCCAGCAGCCGCGGUAAUACGGAGGGUGCAAGCGUUAUCCGGAAUCACUGGGUUGAAAGGGUACGUAGGAGGUGAAUUAAGUCAGUCGUGAAAGACUGUCGCUCAACGUCGGAUGUGCUAUUGAUACUGGUUAACUUGAAUCAGGUUAGCGUUGGCGGACUGGGUCAUGUAGCGGUGAAAUGCUUAGAUAUGACUUUGAACACCGAUAGCGAAGGCAGCUGACUGAGCCUUGAUUGACGCUGAGGUACGAAAGUGUGGGUAGCGAACAGGAUUAGAAACCCGAGUAGUCC